Molecule: long non-coding RNA, 395 nt
Filed under: Sinocyclocheilus anshuiensis
Lineage: Eukaryota; Metazoa; Chordata; Actinopteri; Cypriniformes; Cyprinidae
Description: lncRNA (ENSSANG00000048642.1)
Source: RNAcentral
AUUUUCAUUUCAUGUUCAUGUCGCUGACCUGCUUUCACGCCUGUAAACUUGUGAGCAUUACUUCAAAAGCAGCUCUCACAUUUUCACCCACUUUAAGAGCGAUUAUUUUUGCAUUUACUCUUGAGGGCAGUUUAUUAUUCAAGACCCACUCUGUGCCCAACUUAGGCAUGGAUCGCCUGUGCAGUAGAAUCGUUCUUCUUUUACUCACAGGAGCUCUGAUCAGUGGUAAAAAUCCAGAAGAAUUGAACGUCUAUUUGGAACCAAAGUACAUUAAAGUCUGUGAAGGAGACUCUGUCACAAUCAACUGCACUUUUCAGCCGAGUGGAAAGUACAAACUGAGAUGGUACUACAGCCCGACUGAUUCAGACUGUAACUCUGGAACAGAAGGAUUACAC